RNAcentral lists this ribosomal RNA (433 nucleotides) under uncultured bacterium. RNAcentral's name for it is "partial 16S ribosomal RNA". It matches the Rfam family "Bacterial small subunit ribosomal RNA", at positions 29 to 507 of the family's 1533-position model. The record is from RNAcentral.
AACGAACGCUGGCGGCAUGCCUAACACAUGCAAGUCGAACGAGACCUUCGGGUCUAGUGGCGCACGGGUGCGUAACGCGUGGGAACCUGCCCUUAGGUUCGGAAUAACUCCCCGAAAGGGGUGCCAAUACCGGAUAAUGUCUUCGGACCAAAGAUUUAUCGCCUUUGGAUGGGCCCGCGUUGGAUUAGCUAGUUGGUAGGGUAAAAGCCUACCAAGGCGACGAUCCAUAGCUGGUCUGAGAGGAUGAUCAGCCACACUGGGACUGAGACACGGCCCAGACUCCUACGGGAGGCAGCAGUGGGGAAUAUUGGACAAUGGGCGAAAGCCUGAUCCAGCAAUGCCGCGUGAGUGAUGAAGGCCUUAGGGUUGUAAAGCUCUUUUAACCGGGAUGAUAAUGACAGUACCGGGAGAAUAAGCGCCGGCUAACUCCGUG